This 88-nucleotide transfer RNA is filed under the name Olsenella profusa. Its description in RNAcentral is "tRNA-Pro(tgg)". Lineage: Bacteria; Bacillati; Actinomycetota; Coriobacteriia; Coriobacteriales; Atopobiaceae. RNAcentral also lists the same sequence under 1 other name. The record is from RNAcentral.
CGGGGUGUAGCGCAGCUUGGUAGCGCAUCUGCUUUGGGAGCAGAGGGUCGCUGGUGGGGGCAAUAACCCUUCGAAAAACGCUCACCGA